RNAcentral lists this ribosomal RNA (262 nucleotides) under uncultured bacterium. Its description in RNAcentral is "partial 16S ribosomal RNA". It matches the Rfam family "Bacterial small subunit ribosomal RNA", at positions 91 to 354 of the family's 1533-position model. The record is from RNAcentral.
CUUAGUGGCGGACGGGUGAGUAACGCGUGGGUAACCUGCCUUACACUGGGGAUAACACUUAGAAAUAGGUGCUAAUACCGCAUAAGCGCACGAAGCCGCAUGGAUUUGUGUGAAAAACUCCGGUGGUGUAAGAUGGACCCGCGUCUGAUUAGCUUGUUGGCGGGGUAACGGCCCACCAAGGCGACGAUCAGUAGCCGGCCUGAGAGGGUGGACGGCCACAUUGGGACUGAGACACGGCCCAAACUCCUACGGAAGGCAGCAG